This is a non-coding RNA of Osmia lignaria (orchard mason bee), 3877 nucleotides long. Lineage: Eukaryota; Metazoa; Arthropoda; Insecta; Hymenoptera; Megachilidae. The record is from RefSeq and is a predicted model, not a curated record.
GCGUACUCUGAAACAAUUUCCGCCAUUUUUUUAAAUUUUCAAAUAUAACAUGAAAUAAUAUUCUCAUCUUUUAAUAUAUAUUUGAUGUUACAGAUAAACGCAGAUGUUUACAGAAACAAAACCUUCAUGACAAACUGACAUUAUAAAAAAUAAUUAUAUCAAAUUUCGUAAUUGUAACAAUUUUAUAAAAUGUUUAAAAAGAAAACAUAAUACAUGCGCUAUGAAAAACCGGUUCUUGCAAGCGCGUUAGCAUUGAAAAGGAGUAGUGUAACGGGAAUAGUUACAACGGUACAUUUGAUCAACAACACGAAUACACCUGUUAUUUUACACAUAUAAAUCAUACUAAAAUCAUAUAUCAACUAUGAAUAAACAAGAAAAGGAAGAUGAAAAACAGGACCCUGCCUGUAAUGUUUAUGAUCAGAUAAUGAGCUUAAAGAUGAAGACACUUCUAAAAGUUUUUCUAUACUCUGUAGUAGGUCCAAUACUCAUAUACUGCCUAUUUUUUUCUUUUUUAUACUACCAAGAACAGUUAAUAAGAGUACACACAACAGUAUCUAAAAUAAAAGAGGGGAAUCCACUGUAUUUCGUAUAUGCGAAAAGCAACGAUACCGGAUACUUGAAACAUGUAUUUAUCGUAUUGGAAAGUUUAGGUUUUAAACGGACCUAUAAUAAUUCAAACUGGGACUUGUUGUGGGCACACGAUUAUCCGUUCAGAGUUUUAAGUUCUAACUUAAAUAAGUUACAAACUCAUCAACGCGUUAAUCAUUUUCCUGGUUGUGGAUACAUUACUAAUAAGGUAGAUUUAUCCACAACAGAAGGACGUUAUAUCUUACCAGCAUUUAAGAUACCAGAGCAAAACAAUGAAUUCUUGCAAUAUGUUAAACAACAUCCUGAGAAGAUGUUUGUAGAGAAAUCAAACGAUCAUCGAGGUAUCAGCGUUAAAAAUAUUAGCAGUAUUAAUAUCACAGCAACAGGAUCUUUUGUACAAGAGUUUAUACAACGACCAUUACUCGUAGAUGGUUAUAAAUUUGAUAUAGGAGUAUAUACUGUAAUUACGUCGGUUGAUCCUCUUAGGGUAUACGUGUACAAAGGUGAUGCCUUAUUCAGAUUUUGUCCUGUAAAAUAUUAUCCAUUUGAUCCAGAUGUUUUAGAUAAAUAUGUAGUUGGCGAUGACUAUUUACCAAUUUGGAAUGUUCCAUCCUUGAAACACUAUUACAGUAAACUGAAAUUUUCAAUGAAAGACUCGUUCGAUGCAUACGUAAGAUUACAAGGAAAGAAUCCUGAAAAGGUCUGGGAUUCUAUGUAUGAAGCGAUUAAGGAAAUUACAUUAUCGAAAGAGGGGUACAUUAAAGAAGCUGUGAAACGUUUUGGAAAUGGAAGAAACUUUUUCGAAUUAGUUAGAAUUGAUUUUGCCCUCGACGAAGAUUUAAAUGUUUAUAUGAUGGAAGCAAAUAUGUCUCCAAAUUUGUCUUCAGCACAUUAUCCACCGAACCAGUUACUUUAUGAACAAGUUAUAUAUAAUUUAUUUGCAUUAGUUGGAGUAGGGCAACGAAUUAGAAAAGAUUCCCUAAAAAUAAGGAAUAAGAUGGAAGAAGAAAUGGAAGUCGCUGAUAAGAAUUUAAUGGUUCUACCAGAAUUGUGUAUAGAAUGCAAUGACUGUUUUCGUGUUGAAUGUCAGCUUUGUAGCCCUUGUUUUACAACUGAAACUAAAUCAAUUUUAUCUCAAAGUUAUCUGGAACAUCAAAAUAAAAUGAAUUUCCAAAGAAUCUUUCCACCACCUAUAACAAAAGAUAUGGUACUGAAGGAUUAUACGCUAAGAAAUCAAUUACUAGUAAGAUGGUAUCAAGGCAAAUGUGAAUUAGAUCACUCAUGGUGCUCCUAACAUGUCGAGUCGCGUUACGUGUUUCAUUAACUGUAUUGCUACCUGUAGCAAUGACUUCAUUAUUGUAUACAAAUAAACAACCAACUGGAACUUCGCCAGCUUUCAAAGAACGCUCUGCUUGUUCUAACGCAACAUCCAUCCAACACGUGGACUUGGGUGAGGUAAACAUAAUACCUAAAAUUACAAUGAAAUGUAAACACAGAAAAAGGUUUUCCAACGGGUCCACUAAUUUUUAACCAAUUUUUGACCAUAUUUAUUUCUCCAAAUGGUACACCAGUUUGUGACAUACCCCAAGGACCAGGGUUCAUUCCAAGAAACAAUAUUUUCUUUGGAGUAUUACAAUACUUUUUUACAUAUAAAGUAUGUAUGUUAAACGCAUAUUCAAGCGGACUAUAAACAUAUGCUACAGACACCUCAUUUAUGAAUAUUGUUAAGCAGAAAGAAGUGGGAAGAAGUACGAAGAACAUAUAGGAAAAUUUACCUUGUAUAAGGUUAAAAAUUGUAAAGAUGGAAAAUAAUAUUUAUAAAUUGUGCCAAUGAACAGCUGUGAUACGAUGCGCCACAAAAUAUAAAAGCUCUGUGUAAAAACAUGCGUGAUUGAUAGUAAUGAACGUAAUUAAUUGUAAAGUAGUCUAUAGUAUUUUUCACGAGAGAGUACUAGUACGGAUGAACGAAUUUUGGUCUCGUCUGCGCAUGUUGGCUCUGAUUGGUUCUGCCACGCUCCGCUACCAAGAAAUUAAAUAAAUGGAAACGAUAUUAGAACAGCAACGACGUUACCAUGAAGAAAGGGAAAGGUUGAUGGAUGCAAUGGUUAAGGAAAUGCUUUAUAAAAAGCCAGGACACAGGGAAAAUAUAAUUGAUUACAAGAUAUGGUGUCCAGGCCAUAAACCACAAUGAUAUUGUUGUUAAUGCUACCUGAUAUAAACGAAAUUUAUUUUUAUGAUAAUCAAAGUUUACGAUGCAUCAUAUUCUUUACUUAUAAUUGAAUACCUUCGCUAAUUUUGCUUCCGCACUACCGCCUUGAUUUUCUCCGGAUCGUAAAGAGGCGACAUUCAUUUUUUUAGCUUGUUCUCUCAUUGCUUCCUCAUGUGCAGCGACCGUCUAUUUAACAGGUGUUUACUAUGGUAAGCAAGGUGUCAAUAUAAUUAAAUUCUUUCAAUUAAAUACUUACAGAAACAAUGAAGUAAUAACUAUAAAUAAUAGUAAAUAAUGGAGUGUAAUAAACGAACAUAGAAUAGAUUAAUAUAUAAGAUUUAGAUCCCCAAUCCUCGGUAAGAUAAUCCGUUCCACAUGCUGUCAUGUUACCUUCGGGAACAUACCUAAUUGAUAUGCGAUGUGUUAUUCAUUAGCAUAGCCAGCCACUUAAGAAACAACGUAUCCUGAUAUAAAAAAACCUUACCUGUUCCAUCCUACUAAAGGUAAAAUAGUCCACAAUUAUCCAAAUAACCAGAUACCUAAAAUUUGAAAUAUAGCUCUGUUAAUAGUAAGCGGUGUUCCAGACAUACCCUGAAAAGAUUUUACGACAUUAUUUUCAUUGGAAAUAUCAGUGAUUAUAUCUAUCUAUAGAUAUACGCAUAGACAUACCUUCACUAUAACAUUAUAUCUAUCUAAAGCAAUAGCUGUCAUUGUCCAUAUAGAAGCACACCCACAUAAUGAACCAAUCAUUGCAUAAAUAUCACACAUUAAUGUUCCUGCAUAAAAAUGUUUAUUUUACACAAACAACAAAUUACCAUGGGAGGGCACAUGAAGUCCAUCAUUAUAAAGUCUGAGAAAGCAAGAUUUACUACAAGAAGGUUGCUCGGUGUUCUUAGCGAGGGUGUUAUUAAAAAAAUAUAAACUACCACGCCAUGUCCACACCAUCCCAUAAUUCCUAAUAUGAUCAUAACUAGGCCUAAGACUUUAUGCCAUAAUGGAUUCAAUGGAGGAAACCUGUACCUAUAUUUUAAAAUGUACUUUGCUAACAACUGUUUGAUUAUUAAAACGCAUCCAUUGUCU